AUAAAAUAAUUAGUUGAUGGAAACAUUCUUUGCCAUUACAUGAAUCCUCAAACCUCAAUUACACACCGACGUUUUCAUCAAGAAAUCCCAGCAUAUCAAACCAUGGAAGAGCCUCCAAGCCCCUAUAUGUGACCACCGACCUCACCGGCACUGAACUCAAACUUGACCGUGUUGUAUCAUGGCGUUUUCAUCGCCGGGACAGCUGCAAUUGUUCUUGUGUUGUACAACUUCGUCAUCAUAAAAUGGUGCUCAGAUGACUCCCACACCAGGCCAAGACAGAAUAAUUCGUGGCCGCGGAACUACCUCAACCCCAAGUUUUGGUGACCCUAGGAUAAACUCAAUGACAAACUUCAAGUACAAGAAACGUGGACUAGCACAAGAUCAGGGGCGAACCCACAUGGGGUCAUGUGGGGUCAAAUGACCCCACAGUUUUUUGGAAUUUUUUUUUUUUUUUUUUUUUGUGCUGAAAACUUAAUUUUCUGUCCCCAAAAAGUCCAAAUCUUAAAUCUAUAUCCAUAUCACAUGGUCCAUAUCCAUUAUUUAGUCCAUAGAUAUAUCAUAUAAUCCACAUUUUUCUUCCCAAAGUGCAAAUAUCGAACAUGAACAGCAAAUAACUGAUUUUUCCUUUUU
RNAcentral lists this long non-coding RNA (630 nucleotides) under Olea europaea subsp. europaea. The record is from RNAcentral. Lineage: Eukaryota; Viridiplantae; Streptophyta; Magnoliopsida; Lamiales; Oleaceae.